Non-coding RNA from Peromyscus maniculatus bairdii (prairie deer mouse), 710 nucleotides. NCBI's taxonomy places the organism in Eukaryota, Metazoa, Chordata, Mammalia, Rodentia, Cricetidae. The record is from RefSeq and is a predicted model, not a curated record.
UCGACUUCGUAUACAGAAGGACAAAGCCCGGUCUCUUCAGCCAUGUCACUAUGGACACUUUUGGAUGUCCUCCACAUUAGGGAUGAAAAAGGGACCAGUCAGAAAUUCUUAUGUGCAGCCAAAUGAAGUCUAGUCCUGCCUCUGGCUCCAAGGAAGUGUCUUUAGAUCCAUGAUGACACACAAGAAGGGCAUCAUUUGAAUCCUGCUUUCCAAUGCACAGGACAGACUGUAAGGCUGGAGAGCCAUGCCAAUAUGAAGACGAUCCAAACGUUCAUAUGUGAGGAAAAGAAUUAAUUAGCUACAUAAUCUUAGUUUCCCAUCUACCCCAUCUAUGGCCUGCUGGAACACAUGAAGGAACCUGAUCUGUAGACCCAAAGCUGCAGGAUCUCCACAACCCAGGGCAACAACAGGAUACCCAGGAGGGUUCGUAGUGAGUGCCCAGCAUCGACGGUGUAGUAGAAACUAGAGGACUGGAACCAGACCAAUGACACUUUGCAAUGAACACUUGUAAGUCAAGAUAAAUGGACAAAAGGGGUUUAUGGCAUGACUUACUGUGUCACACUGCAGCUUCCAUGACAAGAUUUUUAAUUUUUCACUUUUUAACUUUUUUCCUUUUUUUUCUCUUAAAUUUUGCUUUGUUUGGGGGAGGUGCAGGGGUGGAAGGCAGAUGUGAAGGGACUGGGAAAGGAAUGGGAUCAAGAUACAUGAUG